GCUAUCUUGUCGGAGUGCCUAGCUGAUACACUGUAUCACGGGCUGAGACCGUUGAUUCGGGAUCCGCGGAACCUGAUUGGGCUAAUACCCACGAAGGGAACAAGAGUAAUUAUCAC
RNAcentral lists this non-coding RNA (116 nucleotides) under Edwardsiella ictaluri. Its description in RNAcentral is "TPP sequence". It matches the Rfam family "TPP riboswitch aptamer (THI element)". Rfam says of the family: Vitamin B(1) in its active form thiamin pyrophosphate (TPP) is an essential coenzyme that is synthesised by coupling of pyrimidine and thiazole moieties in bacteria. Lineage: Bacteria; Pseudomonadati; Pseudomonadota; Gammaproteobacteria; Enterobacterales; Hafniaceae. The record is from RNAcentral.